GCAUGCGCUCCACUGCAGCAAAGAGCAGCCGCAGCCUCUGCCUCGGCCACCACCGCUGCUGGGAAAGAGUCCUGGGGCUGCUGACGCGGUUGGGAGGAGCCUCGCCUUUAAUGCACCAGCCGCCUCCAGCCUCCUGCAGCAGCAGCAGCAGCAGCAGCAGCUGCGAGUGCGCGCGUGUGGGUGUGAGGGCUCGGACCAUGGUGCAGUCCCACUGGCUCCCCUGCCCCCCUCUCCUGUGAGACUGGCUGCGGGGAGGGAUCAUGGAUACUUGUCUGCCGGCUUCUGGUUCCCACGCAAGUAAGCCUGCUGUCAAUGGAGGAGGACAUUGAUACCCGCAAAAUCAACAACAGUUUCCUGCGCGACCACAGCUAUGCGACCGAAGCUGACAUUAUCUCUACGGUAGAAUUCAACCACACGGGAGAAUUACUAGCGACAGGGGACAAGGGGGGUCGGGUUGUAAUAUUUCAACGAGAGCAGGAGAGUAAAAAUCAAGUUCAUCGUAGGGGUGAAUACAAUGUUUACAGCACAUUCCAGAGCCAUGAACCUGAGUUCGAUUACCUGAAGAGUUUAGAAAUAGAAGAAAAAAUCAAUAAAAUAAGAUGGCUCCCCCAGCAGAAUGCAGCUUACUUUCUUCUGUCUACUAAUGAUAAAACUGUGAAGCUGUGGAAAGUCAGCGAGCGUGAUAAGAGGCCAGAAGGCUACAAUCUGAAAGAUGAGGAGGGCCGGCUCCGGGAUCCUGCCACCAUCACAACCCUGCGGGUGCCUGUCCUGAGACCCAUGGACCUGAUGGUGGAGGCCACCCCACGAAGAGUAUUUGCCAACGCACACACAUAUCACAUCAACUCCAUAUCCGUCAACAGCGACUAUGAAACCUACAUGUCUGCUGAUGACCUGAGGAUUAACCUUUGGAACUUUGAAAUAACCAAUCAAAGUUUUAAUAUUGUGGAUAUUAAGCCAGCCAACAUGGAGGAGCUCACGGAAGUGAUCACAGCAGCCGAGUUCCACCCCCAUCAUUGCAACACCUUCGUGUACAGCAGCAGCAAAGGGACAAUCCGGCUGUGUGACAUGCGGGCAUCUGCCCUGUGUGACAGGCACACCAAAUUUUUUGAAGAGCCGGAAGAUCCAAGCAACAGAUCAUUUUUCUCUGAAAUUAUCUCUUCGAUUUCGGAUGUGAAGUUCAGCCACAGUGGGAGGUAUAUCAUGACCAGGGACUAUUUGACCGUUAAAGUCUGGGAUCUCAACAUGGAAAACCGCCCCAUCGAGACUUACCAGGUUCAUGACUACCUCCGCAGCAAGCUGUGUUCCCUCUAUGAAAAUGACUGCAUUUUUGAUAAAUUUGAGUGUGUGUGGAAUGGGUCAGACAGUGUCAUCAUGACGGGCUCCUACAACAACUUCUUCAGGAUGUUCGACAGAAACACCAAGCGUGAUGUGACCCUUGAGGCUUCGAGGGAAAACAGCAAGCCCCGGGCUAUCCUCAAACCCCGAAAAGUGUGUGUGGGGGGCAAGCGGAGAAAAGACGAGAUCAGUGUUGACAGUCUGGACUUUAGCAAAAAGAUCUUGCAUACAGCUUGGCAUCCUUCAGAAAAUAUUAUAGCAGUGGCGGCUACAAAUAACCUAUAUAUAUUCCAGGACAAGGUUAACUAGGUGGACAAGUUAUUACUUAAUAAUCUCACAUACUGAAUACUAGUCAAACAAGUUUUUAAAUGUUUCUUUGGGUCUUCAUUUGAUGCAUUGACUUUAAUUUCCCUAUGCAGGAAAUGAUUGGAAUAGAAUUAAAAGGAGUCCAACAUUCCCAGCUCCCCAGUUCUAAGAAACUUUUGUCAAACCCAAUAGGUUUGGGACACUUUUGUUUAGAAUUGAAAGCUGCCAGCUAACAGUAAUUCUUCCAUAGUUGACUUGAACUUCUGAUGCUUUUAUUGCCCAGUUUUCUCUGGUGGGUACAGUGUUUUGUUCCUAGGUGUCUGCUGCGAUAAAAUGAGGUUGUCUGUAGUAUUUAAGGAGAAAAGAGAUAAGUUUUUUUUAAUUAAGCAAUUCCAUUUGAUUGAAAAAAAUCAACAAAAAAUAAACACCGUUUACUCUUAGACAAA
RNAcentral lists this small RNA (2087 nucleotides) under Pongo abelii (Sumatran orangutan). RNAcentral describes it as "processed transcript". The record is from RNAcentral. Lineage: Eukaryota; Metazoa; Chordata; Mammalia; Primates; Hominidae.